RNAcentral lists this ribosomal RNA (446 nucleotides) under uncultured bacterium. RNAcentral describes it as "partial 16S ribosomal RNA". It matches the Rfam family "Bacterial small subunit ribosomal RNA", at positions 338 to 795 of the family's 1533-position model. The record is from RNAcentral.
CCUACGGGCGGCAGCAGUCGAGAAUCAUUCACAAUGGGGGAAACCCUGAUGGUGCGACGCCGCGUGGGGGAAUGAAGGUCUUCGGAUUGUAAACCCCUGUCAUGUGGGAGCAAAUUAAAAAGAUAGUACCACAAGAGGAAGAGACGGCUAACUCUGUGCCAGCAGCCGCGGUAAUACAGAGGUCUCAAGCGUUGUUCGGAAUCACUGGGCGUAACGCGUGCGUAGGCUGUUUCGUAAGUCGUGUGUGAAAGGCGCGGGCUCAACCCGCGGACGGCACAUGAUACUGGGAGACUAGAGUAAUGGAGGGGGAACCGGAAUGCUCGGUGUAGCAGUGAAAUGCGUAGAUAUCGAGAGGAACACUCGUGGCGAAGGCGGGUUCCUGGACAUUAACUGACGCGGAGGCACGAAGGCCAGGGGAGCGAAAGGGAUUAGAUACCCCUGUAGUC